GCGGGACACGUGGUAUCCUGUCUGAAUAUGGGGGGACCAUCCUCCAAGGCUAAAUACUCCUGACUGACCGAUAGUGAACCAGUACCGUGAGGGAAAGGCGAAAAGAACCCCGGCGAGGGGAGUGAAACAGAACCUGAAACCGUGUACGUACAAGCAGUGGGAGCCCCACCACUAAGCCAGUGGUGAGUUCCAUGAUGCAUCCUUUGCUGAAGGUGCGGUUGGCGGAGCGUUUUUUGCGACGCCCAACACACAAAACAAGCAGAGGGGGCUUAGUGGUGGGGUGACUGCGUACCUUUUGUAUAAUGGGUCAGCGACUUAUAUUCUGUAGCAAGGUUAACCGCAUAGGGGAGCCGGAGGGAAACCGAGUCUUAACCGGGCGUUAAGUUGCAGGGUAUAGACCCGAAACCCGGUGAUCUAGCCAUGGGCAGGUUGAAGGUUGGGUAACACUAACUGGAGGACCGAACCGACUAAUGUUGAAAAAUUAGCGGAUGACCUGUGGCU
RNAcentral lists this ribosomal RNA (501 nucleotides) under Salmonella sp. 32130201-2017-00038SM. RNAcentral describes it as "partial 23S ribosomal RNA". It matches the Rfam family "Bacterial large subunit ribosomal RNA", at positions 417 to 816 of the family's 2925-position model. Lineage: Bacteria; Pseudomonadati; Pseudomonadota; Gammaproteobacteria; Enterobacterales; Enterobacteriaceae. The record is from RNAcentral.